CAGAGCAUCAAAUGAUGCCUCUUCCUCAACAUUUCACAUCUCAUUUCAAAAGCGAGGCCUGCUAGGUUUCGGUGGCGCCAAUACAUCCCCAAACGAUGGAAACCGAUAUCUUGGAGGAGCUGCUAAAUGUAGAGGCGGAGCUGCAGGAGGUCCAAGACCAGAUAAAUACAUUGCUUCAUAGGCAAGAGAAACUGUAUGAGAAGCAAUCUGAACUGCAGUCCUUGUUGGAAGAAUUUAAAGCAUCAGGAAGCCCUGCCAAUGGGGGUGCGCCUGUUACUGUAGAGAACUGGUCAGGGACAUUCAAAUGGGAUUCUCAAGCUGAGGAUAUCAGGUUCAAUGUUUUCGGAAUCAGUACAUAUCGGGCUAAUCAGCGGGAGAUAAUAAAUGCAGUCAUGAGCGGAAGAGAUGUUCUGGUGAUAAUGGCCGCAGGCGGUGGCAAGAGCCUUUGUUAUCAACUUCCUGCCAUUCUCCAUGAUGGGGUGGCUCUUGUCGUCAGUCCUUUGCUUUCCCUAAUUCAGGAUCAGGUGAUGGGACUGGCAGCUCUAGGCAUCCCAGCAUACAAGUUGACUUCAACGACCACUAAGGAGGAUGAAAAAUUUAUAUAUAAGGCCCUUGAAAAAGGUGAAGGAGAGCUUAAAAUUUUGUAUGUGACACCAGAAAAGAUUUCUAAGAGCAAGAGAUUUAUGUCAAAGCUUGAAAAGUGUCAUCAUGCUGGUCGUCUUUCUCUUAUUUCAAUUGAUGAGGCACAUUGCUGUAGUCAGUGGGGCCAUGAUUUUCGUCCUGACUACAAGAACCUUGGUAUCUUGAAGACUCAGUUCCCAAAUGUUCCAGUUCUUGCUUUGACUGCAACUGCUACUCAGAAGGUCCAAAUUGAUUUGAUUGAAAUGCUACAUAUUCCAAAAUGUGUUAAAUUUGUCAGCACAGUUAACAGGCCUAAUCUGUUUUAUAAGGUACAAGAGAAGUCAUCUGUUGGAAAGGUGGUCAUUGAUGAAAUUGCAGAUUUCAUACGAGAGUCAUAUCCAAAUAAUGAGUCUGGGAUAGUUUAUUGCUUCUCCAGAAAAGAAUGUGAGCAGGUUGCAAAGGAUUUGUGCCAACGGGGAAUUUCAGCAGAUUAUUAUCAUGCAGAUAUGGAUCCAUAUGCUCGUGAGAAAGUUCAUCUGCGCUGGAGUAAAAACAAGUUACAGGUUAUUGUGGGAACAGUGGCAUUUGGUAUGGGAAUCAACAAGCCAGACGUCAGGUUUGUCAUCCACCACAGCUUGAGUAAAUCAAUGGAGACAUACUACCAGGAAAGUGGUCGAGCUGGACGAGAUGGGCUUCCUUCAGAGUGCCUACUCUAUUUUAGGCCCGGUGAUGUUCCUCGACAGAGUUCGAUGGUCUUCUAUGAGAAUACUGGCUUGCAAAAUCUCUAUGGUAUAGUGCGAUAUUGUCAGUCUAAAAGAAUAUGCCGGCGAAGUGCUUUUUUUCAUCAUUUCAGUGAGCCAUUACAAGACUGCAAUGGGAUGUGUGAUAACUGUGCAUAUGCAACUGAGCUCAAGGAAGUGGAUGUCACCCAUCAUGCAAAAGCCAUAGUCUCGCUGUUGCAAGAGAUGCAAGAGAAUGAUCAAAGGGCCACAAUGUUGCAAUUGGUGGACAAGGUCAAGGUCAAGGUCAAGCGGAGGGAAUUAGGUGGUUCAGCUGGCCCAGUUUCUGAUAUUAAGAAAGAGGAAUUGGAGCAGCUUAUUGUUCAGCUGAUAUUAGAUCGUGUUUUGAAAGAAGAAUUUCAGCAUACUGCUUAUGCGACUAAUGCUUACGUUACUUUAGGACCUCUGUGGAAGCAAGUAUUGCAAGGCAAGGAAGCUUUUCUCCACAAGGACAUUAAUUCUGUUGGAUGUUGAACUGAAUCUAAUUGCAAUAGUUCUGUUCAUUAGAAUAAAUUACCAAAGUUGGGCUAGCCCUACUCCUGCAAUAAUGAGGAACUAGCCCCCAAAAUGCCAUUACCAUCAUUUACUUGAAAUACAUGGAAGUGCCAAUCCCACUUUGGUCAUUGCCGCUACAAUGAAUUAUAGUUCAGCAUGAUUGAGUAUACAAACUCGUCCCGAUUGGGAUAAAAUAACUUUGAUAGUGGAUUUUCUGUUAGAAUUGUAGCAAUCUUUUCAUACUUCCAAGCUCUCAUCUGAACCUUGGAUGGCAUUUUUUCACUUUAUUUGAUUCCAGCAAACUUACAACUAUACGCCAAGAGAAUUUGGAGGCCUCUAUUCAGAGCUAUCUCAAGGUCCUGUUUGGUUACACAAAAAGUUCCAUGCGGAUAGCGUUAUCCAGAUAGUGGCACAUGUCCAUGGUUUGUGGACGAGCAUUGGCACCAAAAACAGAUUCAGGGUUGUAGAAUGAAGUAACUGUUGCCUUGUACAAUGCAAUUUCGAUAAGGAGUUAUAAGUAGCUAUUUUUUGUAUGUGUUGCAUGUACCUGUGACAUGAGUGAGACUGCCCAUCUUCAAGCAUCCACAUGCUAUAUCCAACCUUCAAGUGCCCACAUGUGCCACCGUAUAUCUUCAAGCACCCUACAUGUGCCACCGCGCACCUUCAUAACCCACAUGCCAGUUUCAAUCUACAAGAGCCCCGCAUGUCUGCAUGUGCUGUUGCGCCAAUGUUUACAAGAGCCGCAUAUGAUUGUCUGUUCCUCCAUAGCCUAGGUUUUUGAAAGAAAAAAAAAGUCAGUACAACAUAAUAAUUUACCUAUACAGUAUACACAAGGCUGUUCAAACAAUCCUUAGUUGGAUUGAUGUGUCCAAAAUAUCCUAUGCGAAUAGAACUUGAUGGUAACCAAACAGGCCCUAAGGUUUAGUCAAGAUAAUGGUAUUAAAGUAAGAAAAUUGUUCUUUUACCCACACGUACAUCUUGUGCCAUUUAUGGGUGUGUCCAUGUUCAGCAGUUGAUACAUGUCUUGUUGUCAUCUGAUAGGGAAGAAGACGAUUAAACUUGAAAUAUGCAUUGGACAGAAUGGUAACACUGGAAAUAUAAACGCUACCAAGCGUAGUAUGUCAUCAGGUUUAGAGAUGAAGCUUGAUGAGCUGCGGAAAGAGCUCUCUUCUAGUCAUGAAGGAAUAUUGCCACAUACCAUUCUUUCCACCCAACAGAUCAGCACGUUAAGUGCCGAAAAACCAACUUCCAUGGAGCAGUUGGAGAAGCUGAUCGGGAAGUUGAAGACUGAGAAGUAUGGAAGUAGAAUUCUUGAACGAAUACAGCAGUAUAUAGAGUCGGAGAGUGAUUCACGGAGCAGAGCUGAAGGCAGUGAAAGCAGAAGCAACAAGAGAUUAAAAACUAAAAGAGCUGUUGUUGUUGUAGAAAGCAGCAGCGGAGAUGAACAGGAAUAGAUCAGUUUAGAGGAUGCCAGAAUUUCUUGCAGAGAGGAAGCCCGAUCAUUUGACUGCUCCACCUUGUGAUGGCAAAUGUGCAUUCAAGUGGGGUAAUUGCUGGGAAUCAACGGGAAAAAGAGGUGGGAAAGAAGUGAUGAUGGAGAUCGUUCGAUCAGUGAUAUUUUGAACUGAGUCCCAUCCAGAGCACAGCCCGUUAAGUGAAAGUACCGAUGCAUUCUGCGAUCUGAUCAACUGCAACUGGUUGUUUCAUUACAACCCAUAUUUUUAGUGGCAAUGGAACAUGCUGGGGCUGAUUGCAUGGUACCAUCUGUGUUUUCGUUGUGUACAAGUGGGGCACACUGAAAAGGUUCCCAAAGUUUCAGCUAUCUGGGGCCCACCAACCGUGGUGAGUAUGUGACAUCCAAGCCGUCCAUCGAAUGCGGCCCAUAUCACCAUAGAAACUUCCAGAUGGUAUGUAUGCCUAAGGUGCGCAUUUACACCAUGAAAUCCAGUCAUCAGACGUCCAACCAAGAUGAAGGGACAUCCCAAAGAUAAGGCCAUGCCAUAAGUCAGGUGGUCCACUUCAUGUGUAUUUAGACGUUUUUGGCGUGAAUUUACUUUGUUCCUCGUGGUUUGGCCCACCUGAUUUUUGGGAAUGUAUCGUGAACACGAGGCAAUGCACCUAAUGAACAGUUUUGAUUCCUCAUGCACAUAAUGGUGGGCCCACAGAAGCUUGGACUGACUAAUGUCAUCAGACAUCAUUCGUUUUUCUCUGUCACGUGUAUGGUGGGACAUGGCUCGUUUGAUAGUUCUCAAUCAGUAGCGGGUGGACAUUGUACUGAUCAAAGCGCCAUUGGGUUGUCUACUCCCAGGCAAAAAAAAAAAACUUGGGACAGUCGUCCCCUUUUCAUUGAUCCGAACCGUAGAUAUAAUGGGCCUCA
This is an RNA transcript of Magnolia sinica, 4272 nucleotides long. It is a transcript of the gene named ATP-dependent DNA helicase Q-like 2, with no coding region annotated. The record is from RefSeq and is a predicted model, not a curated record. NCBI's taxonomy places the organism in Eukaryota, Viridiplantae, Streptophyta, Magnoliopsida, Magnoliales, Magnoliaceae. The transcript is spliced from 20 exons.